AUCAGCUUGUUGGUGAGGUAAUGGCUCACCAAGGCGACGACGGGUAGCCGGCCUGAGAGGGCGACCGGCCACACUGGGACUGAGACACGGCCCAGACUCCUACGGGAGGCAGCAGUGGGGAAUAUUGGGCAAUGGAGGAAACUCUGAUGCAGCGAUGCCGCGUGAGUGAAGAAGGCCCUUGGGUUGUAAAGCUCUUUCGUCGGGGAAGAAAAUGACUGUACCCGAAUAAGAAGGUCCGGCUAACUUCGUGCCAGCAGCCGCGGUAAUACGAAGGGACCUAGCGUAGUUCGGAAUUACUGGGCUUAAAGAGUUCGUAGGUGGUUGAAAAAGUUAGUGGUGAAAUCCCAGAGCUUAACUCUGGAACUGCCAUUAAAACUUUUCAGCUAGAGUAUGAUAGAGGAAAGCAGAAUUUCUAGUGUAGAGGUGAAAUUCGUAGAUAUUAGAAAGAAUACCAAUUGCGAAGGCAGCUUUCUGGAUCAUUACUGACACUGAGGAACGAAAGCAUGGGUAGCGAAGAGGAUUAGAUACCCUCGUAGUCCAUGCCGUAAACGAUGUGUGUUAGACGUUGGAAAUUUAUUUUCAGUGUCGCAGCGAAAGCGAUAAACACACCGCCUGGGGAGUACGACCGCAAGGUUAAAACUCAAAUGAAUUGACGGGGACCCGCACAAGUAGUGGAGCAUGUGGUUUAAUUCGAAGAUACGCGCAGAACCUUACCAACACUUGACAUGUUCGUCGCGACUCUAAGAGAUUAGAGUUUUCGGUUCGGCCGGACGAAACACAGGUGCUGCAUGGCUGUCGUCAGCUCGUGUCGUGAGAUGUUGGGUUAAGUCCCGCAACGAGCGCAACCCUCACUUUUAGUUGCCAUCAUUAAGUUGGGCACUCUGAAAGAACUGCCAGUGAUAAGCUGGAGGAAGGUGGGGAUGACGUCAAGUCCUCAUGGCCCUUACGUGUUGGGCUACACACGUGCUACAAUGGUAUCUACAACAGGAAGCAAGACUGCGAGGUCAAGCAAAUCCUUAAAAGAUACCUCAGUUCGGAUUGCACUCUGCAACUCGAGUGCAUGAAGCUGGAAUUACUAGUAAUCGUGGAUCAGCGUGCCACGGUGAAUGCGUUCCCGGGUCUUGUACACACCGCCCGUCACACCAUGGGAGUUGGUUCUACCUUAAGGCAAGGUUUCAAACCCUUGACCACGGUAUAGUCAGCGACUGGGGUGAAGUCGUAACAAGGUAACCGUA
This 1235-nucleotide ribosomal RNA is filed under the name uncultured bacterium. RNAcentral describes it as "bacterial SSU rRNA". It matches the Rfam family "Bacterial small subunit ribosomal RNA", at positions 240 to 1504 of the family's 1533-position model. The record is from RNAcentral.